This 224-nucleotide ribosomal RNA is filed under the name Pheidole guajirana. Its description in RNAcentral is "partial large subunit ribosomal RNA". Lineage: Eukaryota; Metazoa; Arthropoda; Insecta; Hymenoptera; Formicidae. The record is from RNAcentral.
GAAUUUUAUAUAAAUUUAUUAUAUAUUUUAUAAUAAGGAGAUAUUAAUAAGUUUAUAUUUUAUUGGGAGGAUAAUUAAAUUAUAAUAACUUUAAUAGUAUUAAUAAAACAUUAAUUUAUGAGUUAUAAGAUAAAAGAAUGGUUAAGUUAGUUUAAAUAGAAUUAAUUACCUUAGGGAUAACAGCGUAAUAUUUUUAGAGAGAUCUUAUUAAUAAAGAUGAUUGC